RNAcentral lists this ribosomal RNA (544 nucleotides) under uncultured bacterium. Its description in RNAcentral is "bacterial SSU rRNA". It matches the Rfam family "Bacterial small subunit ribosomal RNA", at positions 777 to 1334 of the family's 1533-position model. The record is from RNAcentral.
AAUAGAUACCCAGGUAGUCCACGCCGUAAACUAUGGAUGCUAGCUGUAUCCGGUAUCGACCCCGGAUGUAGCGAAGCUAACGCGUUAAGCAUCCCGCCUGUGGAGUACGGUCGCAAGACUAAAACAUAAAGGAAUUGACGGGGACCCGCACAAGCGGUGGAGCGUGUUGUUUAAUUCGACGGUAAGCGAAGAACCUUACCCAGGCUUGACAUCCCUUGAAUUUUGUCGAAAGACGAGAGUGCUUUAUUGAACAAGGUGACAGGUGAUGCAUGGCCGUCGUCAGCUCGUGUCGUGAGAUGUUUGGUUAAGUCCAUCAACGAGCGCAACCCUUGUAACUAGUUGGAUUUUUCUAGUUAGACUGCCCUGGUAACAGGGAGGAAGGAGGGGAUGAUGUCAGGUCAGUAUUUCCCUUACGUCUGGGGCUACAAACACGCUACAAUGGCCGGUACAAAGGGCAGCCAAGUCGCAAGACGGAGCAAAUCCCAUCAAAGCCGGUCCCAGUUCGGAUAGCAGGCUGAAACUCGCCUGCUUGAAGUCGGAAUCG